RNAcentral lists this ribosomal RNA (517 nucleotides) under uncultured Eubacterium sp. Its description in RNAcentral is "bacterial SSU rRNA". It matches the Rfam family "Bacterial small subunit ribosomal RNA", at positions 383 to 898 of the family's 1533-position model. The record is from RNAcentral. Lineage: Bacteria; Bacillati; Bacillota; Clostridia; Eubacteriales; Eubacteriaceae.
CUGACGAGCAUGCCGCGUGAGUGAGGAAGGUCUUCGGAUCGUAAAGCUCUGUUGUAAGAGAAAAACGGCACUCAUAGGGAAUGAUGAGUGAGUGAUGGUAUCUUACCAGAAAGUCACGGCUAACUACGUGCCAGCAGCCGCGGUAAUACGUAGGUGGCGAGCGUUAUCCGGAAUGAUUGGGCGUAAAGGGUGCGUAGGUGGCAGAUCAAGUCUGGAGUAAAAGGUAUGGGCUCAACCCGUACUGGCUCUGGAAACUGAUCAGCUAGAGAACAGAAGAGGACGGCGGAACUCCAUGUGUAGCGGUAAAAUGCGUAGAUAUAUGGAAGAACACCGGUGGCGAAGGCGGCCGUCUGGUCUGGAUUCUGACACUGAAGCACGAAAGCGUGGGGAGCAAAUAGGAUUAGAUACCCUAGUAGUCCACGCCGUAAACGAUGAGAACUAGGUGUUGGGGGAAUAACUCAGUGCCGCAGUUAACGCAGUAAGUUCUCCGCCUGGGGAGUAUGANGCAAAGUGUGAA